GGACUCGUGCCUGAAAUAAAGGAUUACUUUGAUAGAGUAAAUAAUGUGGGUUAAAACCCCUCCGACUCCU
Molecule: non-coding RNA, 70 nt
Organism: Poecilia reticulata (guppy)
Lineage: Eukaryota; Metazoa; Chordata; Actinopteri; Cyprinodontiformes; Poeciliidae
Source: Ensembl